AUGGCCGCCGACCGUCUCUCCGCUCUCCCCGACGAUCUGCUGCAGCACAUCCUAUCAUUCGUACCCGAGAGGGAGGCCGCUGCCACCGCCGUCCUCUCGCGCCGAUGGCACCCUCUCUGGAGCGGAGCGACCGCCGUCAACCUGGACAUCAGGCCCUACAUGACCGCCGAGGAGGGUCAAGGCCUCCGCAUCAGCCCUUCGCCGCUGGACGCCCUCUUGCACGACGCCGUCGCCGCACUCGCCGCCUUCCCCCGACCUCGUACGAGGUACGACAGUGUGGACGACCCCGAACCUGUAGACGACGGCAGGGAGCCCGGCCUCCUCGCUGACCCCGCAGCGGCCGGACUGGAAGAGGUCCUCAUCGGCUGCGAGCACGGCCGUAUGCGGACGACGACCUAUGGCCUGCCGCUGGCCUCCAUGGCGUGCGCCGCCACGCUCCUUGGCUUUCCCGUGCCUGACGGAGCUGCGGCUGCGCCACUGCUUUUUCAAGGAAGGGUGUCUCCACUCCAGGCUAUGGUCGACGCCGCGCCGGCGCUCACCAGCCUGUCACUGGACAGAGUCUCUCAACAGCCGCCGGGUUCUGCCAAGAAGCCAUUCGAGGCCAUGCCGCCCUAUCUCUGGGUGCCCUUCCGGCUCCGCUGCUUGACAGCCACCACCCUGGAGCUAGAGACCUACUCCGUGGGCGCCGAGGAGGAGGAGAGUUGGAAGGAGAACGGCUCAAUAAUAUUCUCUUUGUUUGGCAUACUGCCAUCGGUACAACAUAUGCAGGAUGAGUUACAACAGAAGGCCCGAUGA
This 795-nucleotide ribosomal RNA is filed under the name Triticum aestivum (bread wheat). Its description in RNAcentral is "partial small subunit ribosomal RNA". Lineage: Eukaryota; Viridiplantae; Streptophyta; Magnoliopsida; Poales; Poaceae. The record is from RNAcentral.